AUGGCGAGCUCGGCGCUGAGACGAUCUCUUCCACGACGCCUGCUAACUUCCGACCCAUCAUCCGCCGCAGCCUCCUUGUUCCGCCGCUCCUUCCUGUCCGGAGAGGGCGCGGGCGAGAGUGCGGACGACUUUGAGAAACGUCUGUUUGAGUCAGAUGACAAGUCAUUCUUCGGGAAGCUCGAUGGGAUUGGGAGCUCCUUUGGUAGACACGGCACGGGCUCUGGAAUGGGUGCUUUUGGUCGGCCCGAGUUUGGUCAGGGGAGUAGCAAUGGUGGGUUCAUGGACGGUUUCGAUUCCUUAAACGAUGGCAUGAACGAGAAGUUGGACGAUGCGGCCCGCACCUUUCAUAUGACGGAGGAGGUUGAUGAUGAUGACUACGAUUUCAGGCCGGAUGUGAAUUACAGGCGUGGCUCGACUUACAAUGUCCGGGAUCUUGACCUUACAAGACCUGCAGCCCCAAGGAAUCCUCCAAGACCUCAGUUUGAAACAUCUACAAAGGAAGUUUUAAGGAAAGCUGAUUUUAGGAAUGUUAGAUUCCUCUCCAACUUUCUUACAGAAGCUGGCAUUAUCAUCAAGAGGAGUCAGACCAAGAUAAGCGCGAAAGCUCAGCGCAAGGUUGCGAGGGAGAUUAAGACAGCGCGUGCACUGGGACUGAUGCCUUUCACGACGAUGGGCAAGAGGCCUUUCAUGUUUGGCAGAAGCGCGGAGGAGGAUGCUUCAGAGGAGGAGUAUGGGUACGACUUCGUCGAGAAGGAUGCUGGGCCUGAAGAUGCCGUUGCCGAUGCCGUACCCGAUGUGGAGACUGUGUAA
RNAcentral lists this ribosomal RNA (810 nucleotides) under Triticum aestivum (bread wheat). RNAcentral's name for it is "partial small subunit ribosomal RNA". Lineage: Eukaryota; Viridiplantae; Streptophyta; Magnoliopsida; Poales; Poaceae. The record is from RNAcentral.